This 329-nucleotide ribosomal RNA is filed under the name uncultured eukaryote. RNAcentral describes it as "partial 18S ribosomal RNA". It matches the Rfam family "Eukaryotic small subunit ribosomal RNA", at positions 1470 to 1796 of the family's 1831-position model. The record is from RNAcentral.
CCCUUAGACGUUCUGGGCCGCACGCGCGCUACACUGUUUGAUUCAGCGAGUCUUAACCUUGACCGAAAGGUUUGGGUAAUCUUCUAAAGUCAAACGUGAUGGGGAUCGAUCAUUGCAAUUAUUGAUCGUGAACGAGGAAUUCCUAGUAAAUGCAAGUCAUCAGCUUGCGUUGAUUACGUCCCUGCCCUUUGUACACACCGCCCGUCGCUACUACCGAUUGAAUGGUUUAGUGAGAUCUCCGGAUUGGCUCUGUAGGUCCCGCAAGGGAUUUAUUAGUAGCCAAGAAGCUGCUCAAACUUGAUCAUUUAGAGGAAGUAAAAGUCGUAACA